Molecule: long non-coding RNA, 249 nt
Filed under: Medicago truncatula (barrel medic)
Lineage: Eukaryota; Viridiplantae; Streptophyta; Magnoliopsida; Fabales; Fabaceae
Description: long non-coding RNA (MTRU_LNC004601)
Source: RNAcentral
AUAAUUCAUGGCUUGGGUAUGCAUGAUUCAAAUUUGUUGUUGAGAAAUAAAUUGUUGUUGUUGGUUUGGUGAAAAUGAGUACUUAUGAGUUUUGCUCAAUUGUUGGAUUGGGAUAUGGUGUUGUUGAAUUAUGGUUGAAUUCAUGUCUAAAUGAAGUGUUGUUGAAAUAGACAUGUUGUUGUUGUUGAAUGAUAUCAUGGGUAUUCCAUUUUAUGAAAUAAGUUGUUUGUAUUGGGGAAGUUGUGUUAG